This 45-nucleotide non-coding RNA is filed under the name Schistosoma mansoni. The record is from RNAcentral. Lineage: Eukaryota; Metazoa; Platyhelminthes; Trematoda; Strigeidida; Schistosomatidae.
AUCCAGCUGACCAGUCCCAAAUAGGACGAAACGUGCAUCCUGGAU